This 972-nucleotide ribosomal RNA is filed under the name Triticum aestivum (bread wheat). Its description in RNAcentral is "partial small subunit ribosomal RNA". The record is from RNAcentral. Lineage: Eukaryota; Viridiplantae; Streptophyta; Magnoliopsida; Poales; Poaceae.
AUGGACUGGAAACCUGCGGUGAUGAUGAUGGCAGUGGUAAUCAUGUACGCGGUGUUGAACGUGAUGACGAAGAUAGCUUUCAACGAAGGGAUGCACACCACCGUCUUCAUCGUCCUCCGCCUGCUCGUUGCCGCGCUCUUCCUCUCCCCGAUCGCAUACUUCAAAGAGAGGAAGAGUAGACCUAAGCUGACCAUCGAGAUCUUCGGUUACCUCUUCUUGAGUGCCUUGCUUGGAGCCUCACUGCUCCAGUGGCUCUUCUUCCUGGGCUUGCGGUACACGACAGCCACGUUUGCGAGCGCCUUCAACAAUACGACCCCCAUGUUCACAUUCCUCCUCGCACUCGCCUUCAAAAUUGAGAAGAUUAAUGUGGCUAACCGUUCCGGCGCUGCCAAGCUCACGGGCACGGCUGUGGGGCUGGCCGGAGCCAUGGUGUUGGCACUCUACCAAGGCCCAACCCUGAUUGGUGCACCAGCAGAACACCUAGCCACCGCUGCCGCCCAUAGGGGUGCAGGGAGGUGGGUGAUGGGCUUGGUAGCGUUGUUGGGCUUCUCAGCAAGCUGGUCAAUGUGGUUCAUCCUGCAGUCCAAGAUUUGGACAAAGUACCCGGCACUGUACUCAAGCACGGCGUGGAUGUUCCUCCUUAGCUUUGUCCAGAUGGCUGUCGUAGGUGCCGCAACUGAGAAGAUGACCUUGGAGGUAUGGGUCCCUGGCACAGUGCUCCAGGUCGUCACCGUACUCUUGGCGGGUGUCGGAGUGUCGGCGCUGGGGUUCCUGGCCAUGACAUGGUGCGUGGAGUGGCGAGGGCCUGUGUUCACCACAGCCUUCAUGCCGCUAAUUCAGAUCAUCACCGCUGGUAUCGACGUCGCCAUCCUCCAUGAGCAGCUCCACCUUGGUAGCAUGGUCGGGUCGGUAAUUGUGGUCGUGGGGCUCUACUCCAUCCUGUGGGGAAAGAGCAACGAGGCAAGCACCAUU